ACACGUAGGGGGCGAGCGUUGUUCGGACUCAUUGGGCGUAAAGGGCGUGCAGGCGGUCCUGCAAGUCCGGCGUGAAAGACCCCGGCCCAACCGGGGGGACGCGCUGGAAACUGCGGGGCUUGAGUACAGGAGGGGAUGCCGGAAUUCCAGGUGUAGGGGUGAAAUCUGUAGAUAUCUGGAAGAACACCAAUGGCGAAGGCAGGCAUCUGGCCAUGUACUGACGCUGAGACGCGAAGGUGCGGGGAGCAAACAGGUUUAGAUACCCUGGUAGUCCGCACAGUAAACGAUGUGCACCAGGUGGCGGGGGGUCGACCCUCGGUACCGUAGCUAACGCAUUAAGUGCACCGCCUGGGGAGUAUGCUCGCAAGGGUGAAACUCAAAUGAAUUGACGGGG
This 394-nucleotide ribosomal RNA is filed under the name uncultured bacterium. RNAcentral's name for it is "partial 16S ribosomal RNA". It matches the Rfam family "Bacterial small subunit ribosomal RNA", at positions 523 to 918 of the family's 1533-position model. The record is from RNAcentral.